UGGGGAAUUUUGGGCAAUGGGCGAAAGCCUGACCCAGCAACGCCGCGUGAAGGACGAAAUCCCUCGGGAUGUAAACUUCGUAGUCAGGGGAAGAAAGUCUUGGAUUGAAUACAUCCGAGGCCUGACGGUACCCUGGGUAAGCCACGGCUAACUACGUGCCAGCAGCCGCGGUAAUACGUAGGUGGCAAGCGUUGUUCGGAAUUACUGGGCGUAAAGGGCGCGUAGGCGGCCCUCUAAGUCAGACGUGAAAUCCCCCGGCUUAACCUGGGAACUGCGUCUGAUACUGGAGGGCUUGAGUAUGGGAGAGGGAUGUAGAAUUCCAGGUGCAGCGGUGAAAUGCGUAGAUAUCUGGAGGAAUACCGGUGGCGAAGGCGGCAUCCUGGACCAUUACUGACGCUGAGGCGCGAAAGCUAGGGGAGCAAACAGGAUUAGAUACCCCCGUAGUCCCUGAGCGGGCUGGCAAGGCGCAU
Molecule: ribosomal RNA, 470 nt
Filed under: uncultured bacterium
Lineage: Bacteria
Description: bacterial SSU rRNA
Rfam family: Bacterial small subunit ribosomal RNA
Source: RNAcentral